AUUGUUGAGUUGUAGGAGUUCUUUAUAUAUUCUGGAUAUCAACCCCUUAUUCUGAUGCUCUCAUGAACAGUUUCAUUUAAUACAAACAUGGGCAGGGGAGCAGAAUGGUAAUUUUUUCCACAUCUGAAACCCCAUUCCAGAUUGUCCUGGAUCCCAGUCCCUCCCUAAGAGUAAUAGCAAACCCAUGAUUCCUUCUUAUACUAUUUUACUGUUUUCAAAGAAGUUU
RNAcentral lists this long non-coding RNA (226 nucleotides) under Homo sapiens (human). RNAcentral's name for it is "non-protein coding lnc-SCAND1-7:1". Lineage: Eukaryota; Metazoa; Chordata; Mammalia; Primates; Hominidae. The record is from RNAcentral.